AUUGAACGCUGGCGGCAUGCCUUACACAUGCAAGUUGAACGGCAGCAUGGAGAGCUUGCUCUCUGAUGGCGAGUGGCGAACGGGUGAGUAAUGCAUCGGAACGUACCGUGUAAUGGGGGAUAACGUAGCGAAAGUUACGCUAAUACCGCAUACGACCUGAGGGUGAAAGCAGGGGAUCGCAAGACCUUGCGUUAUACGAGCGGCCGAUGUCAGAUUAGCUGUUGGUGAGGUAAAGGCGCACCAAGGCGACGAUCUGUAGCGGGUCUGAGAGGAGGAGCCGCCACAAUGGGACUGAGGCACGGCCCAGACUCCUACGGGAGGCAGCAGUGGGGAAUUUUGGACAAUGGGGGCAACCCUGAUUCAGCCAUGACGCGUGAGUGAAGAAGGCCUUCGGGUUGUAAAGCUCUUUCGGCCGGGAAGAAAUCGCACAGGCUAAUACUCUGUGUGGAUGACGGUACCGGCAUAAGAAGCACCGGCUAACUACGUGCCAGCAGCCGCGGUAA
RNAcentral lists this ribosomal RNA (503 nucleotides) under uncultured bacterium. RNAcentral describes it as "partial 16S ribosomal RNA". It matches the Rfam family "Bacterial small subunit ribosomal RNA", at positions 30 to 523 of the family's 1533-position model. The record is from RNAcentral.